This 253-nucleotide ribosomal RNA is filed under the name uncultured bacterium. Its description in RNAcentral is "partial 16S ribosomal RNA". It matches the Rfam family "Bacterial small subunit ribosomal RNA", at positions 524 to 776 of the family's 1533-position model. The record is from RNAcentral.
UACAGAGGGUGCGAGCGUUGUUCGGAAUUAUUGGGCGUAAAGCGCACGUAGGCGGAUCUUUAAGUCAGGGGUGAAAUCCUGGAGCUCAACUCCAGAACUGCCUUUGAUACUGGGGAUCUCGAGUCCGGGAGAGGUGAGUGGAACUGCGAGUGUAGAGGUGAAAUUCGUAGAUAUUCGCAAGAACACCAGUGGCGAAGGCGGCUCACUGGCCCGGUACUGACGCUGAGGUGCGAAAGCGUGGGGAGCAAACAGG